ACAAGCGGUGGAGCAUGUGGUUUAAUUUCGACGCAACGCGAAGAACCUUACCUGGACUUGACAUCUGGGGAAUCCCUAUGAAAGUAGGGAGUGCCCUUCGGGGAGCCCCAAGACAGGUGCUGCAUGGCUGUCGUCAGCUCGUGUCGUGAGAUGUUGGGUUAAGUCCCGCAACGAGCGCAACCCUUGUCUCUAGUUACCAUCAUUUGGUUGGGGACUCUAGAGAUACUGCCAAGGUUAACUUGGAGGAAGGUGGGGAUGACGUCAAGUCCUCAUGGCCCUUAUGGGUAGGGCUUCACACGUCAUACAAUGGUCGGUACAGAGGGUUGCCAACCCGCGAGGGGGAGCUAAUCCCAUAAAGCCAGUCGUAGUCCGGAUCGUAGUCUGCAACUCGACUACGUGAAGUCGGAAUCGCUAGUAAUCGUGGAUCAGAAUGUCACGGUGAAUACGUUCCCAGGUCUU
Molecule: ribosomal RNA, 459 nt
Filed under: uncultured Desulfobacteraceae bacterium
Lineage: Bacteria; Pseudomonadati; Thermodesulfobacteriota; Desulfobacteria; Desulfobacterales; Desulfobacteraceae
Description: bacterial SSU rRNA
Rfam family: Bacterial small subunit ribosomal RNA
Source: RNAcentral